Lathyrus oleraceus (garden pea) is the source of this 1126-nucleotide long non-coding RNA. RefSeq lists it as uncharacterized. NCBI's taxonomy places the organism in Eukaryota, Viridiplantae, Streptophyta, Magnoliopsida, Fabales, Fabaceae. The record is from RefSeq and is a predicted model, not a curated record. The transcript is spliced from 2 exons.
GGUGCCCGAUGAAAUCCUUAGAGAGGAAACGAAUUCCUAUUCCAAUAUAUCAGAAAUAAAAGAAACAAACAGUAAAAGAGUGCAAGAAUAACUCUCUUUAGAUGUAGAUCAUCAAAUCAAACACGGCCACAAUUUGCUUAAAAACGGAGAAGGUAGCGAGAAGAGAUAUGCUCCACAAUUCUGUUCAGCAAUGUUGUGCAUGCAAUCAAGGGAGGACUAUUGUGGAACAAAUAUACAGUCCAUAUGAAACGGAAAAAAUUUCGGCAUCCCCACUUCGAUAAAUAUCCACUUGGGAGAAUGUAGAAAAAAGCGAGCCAAAUCAAGUCGUCAAGAAUUCGUUCACCAAAGAUAAUUUAUACAAAGCAGCAGAGACACUCAUCUCCAAUUUCUCCACUAUAGACCAAAUAAAAAUGUGAGUGUGAUUCAGAAUUAAGAAAACUUCUGUUGUACAGCAAAGUUUCUCUGUCAGCAACAUACGAUAAAUGUAGAGAAAAAUUAAACUGCCAGAUAGGUUGUAGAAAAAGGAACCAAGAAGAUAGAAAGAAUAUAGCAUAACUCUCCAAACCAAGUUGCAGAUCCGGAUAACAGAGAGAGGCCUACCAAUUUGUCCGAAUGUCUAGAAAAUUAUGUAAACUUUUGCACUUUCUGAAUACAAAAACCCAAAUGUAGAACAAACAUUUGUAAGACAAAAGUAGUAAUGAUGUUAAAAACCCUUAAGACUGAUCUUUUCAAUUAAACAUCAAUAGACAAACAGAAUCAUCAGAGAAGAAAUCAAAUGAAAGAAUCUCAGUACCAAAAAAACUAGAGCCAUAUUUCAAUUCACAUGUAUGGCAAUAAAAUCCAGAACAAAAUGAAACCCCAAUAUCAAGAAACCAUAAAGGAACCAUAAUACAAAACCCGAAGAAUAAUAUGCUCACAAACUACUUUUCCUGAAACGCACCAGAGAAAAUAAAAGAUCAAGAAUAAUAUUUAUUUCAAAAGGAAUAAAGAGUUUUAGAAAACUAAGAGAUUUUAAAAGAGAUCACCAAAACAAAACGCAGGCUCCAUGAUCUAUUGAAACUUAUACUAACAAAUAAAGCUGCAAAAAAACAGGUUUAGAUUUCAAAUUGUAUGUUUUGUGAUCAAA